CCUAAAAUGUAAUUAACAUGUUUCAUUGAAUUAAGUCUGAUUAUUGUUUGAACAGGUCGAGCUCUUGUGGAAGAAGCUAAUAACCCAAAUAAUGAUAAUGAAAUUCCUGAUCAGGGGAGAGAUUUACCAGAUGGUCCGACAGAAUCUGAUCCACUUCAUGAUAUGUUUCAUUCUGAACCAGAUCAAGUGAAGAAAAUAAAAGUAAAUCAAGGAGAAACUGUCACUCUAAAGAGUGGAGUUACUGAAAUUCAGAGAGAUGAUCGGCUACGGUGGAAAUAUGCUGAUUCCAGAGUAUCUGAAUCCACAACGUUAUAUAGUGUCAUCGCUGUAUGCGAUAAAAGGAGCGG
Cyprinus carpio (common carp) is the source of this 347-nucleotide long non-coding RNA. RefSeq lists it as uncharacterized. The transcript is spliced from 4 exons. The record is from RefSeq and is a predicted model, not a curated record. NCBI's taxonomy places the organism in Eukaryota, Metazoa, Chordata, Actinopteri, Cypriniformes, Cyprinidae.